RNAcentral lists this long non-coding RNA (2066 nucleotides) under Takifugu rubripes (torafugu). RNAcentral's name for it is "lncRNA (ENSTRUG00000026634.1)". Lineage: Eukaryota; Metazoa; Chordata; Actinopteri; Tetraodontiformes; Tetraodontidae. The record is from RNAcentral.
UUAUGAAAUCAUCAGAUUGUGCUGAUUUUGCACAUGAAGAAAUGUUGUCUAAUGUUUCAGACAACCUCAAUUCAACUGAAGAUGACUUGACACUGUCAGGCUAUGUUCAAGAUAACUUUGAAUUCUUGGACCACAUGGACUGCAGCGUCCUGGAGCACAUGGAAUGUACUGUCCCUUAUCAGGUCUGAAUCACGUGAGGUUUAAACAUUAUUUUAGUACUUUUUAAGAAAAAGGGUUUAGUUCUAUGAGGCACUUUUCUCUUUAUUUCAUGUCAGGUACACGAGUUCUCUGUUGAACCUCCUGGUCAUUCAGAUGAUGAGUAUGAAGUGAUGGAGCAGGGUCAGCCCUCACAUCAUGUCGAUGAGCUCCAGAGGCACACAGAAUCAAAGUCACCCAAACAGCUCAGCAUUGAUGCAAAUGGCCGACACAUUAAAUCACUUAGUUUGCCUUACAUGACAUCACCUAUCCAUGGACAGGAGGAGUCUGGCUCUGAUGAUGAUGAUGAUGAUAAUGAUGUAGAUGAUUACAACAGUGAGGAUGAGGAGAACAUGUUUGUCAAAAGCCUCCCAUCUUAUUUCUUUUCAAAGGAACUAUCUGGAUGUGAACCAGAAAUUGAGAGGCAGGAAAAAUAUUCUCUUGAAAUUCAUCCUGUAGAUGUAGUACAGAUCACAGAUGAUGAAGGCAUUAAGCAUUCUCCAUGUUUGGAAUCAACUACAGAUAAGAUACAGAUAGGCAUAAAAGAUACUGAAGUAAGUGACAGAUGGGAGGAAAAUAAGUGGUCAAGAACAGAAGAUAAAGCUAAAAAUCCCCAGGAACAAAGCAAGACACAAAGCACAGUAGCACGGAAGAUAAACAGCAUCAUGGAAGAUGCUCGAAGCAGCAACAACAACAAUGAGCAACCACUCAACCCAGAGGAAUCAACAUACUGGUGCAGUAUGUAUCCCUUGUCAACUGAUGGAGAAUCAAGUGUCAUGGCUGACACAACAGUAAACAAGCAAACAGAAAUAGAUAAUUUCUCUUACAGUGAUUAUGCAGAGAAUUUCCACUCAGAAACUGUGGAGGUUUUAUUUAUGGAGUCUAAAGACUUUUCUGAAAGUUCACUAGAACCAACUGAUAAAGAGGACAGAGAUCAUGUAAAAGAAAUCAAUAGAUACAAAGAUACAGACGAUACAAUUCAAGACAUUGUACCGAAUAUAAGACCAAAUGAUGAAAGAAUGUACAACCUAGUUUCUAAAGAAAAGAUGGAGGUAAGCAGCAAAGAGAACAGUGAUAUUUUGGAUGAUCAUGUGGAUGUUACAUGCGAAAUUACAAAAGGAGAUGGAAGUAUGCAGAUUGAGAUUAAAUCUGCAGAACAAAGUGAUGUUGCAAAAAUGGGAGUGAAGACAGUAAAUGUGGAGUUUAAUGACGGAGAGACAAGUGAAAGAGAAGUUAGAAUAGAAACAGUAAAGGAAUCAAGACCUGCCAAAAAGCUUGCAGAUUGUGAAAUUCAGCUAGAAAUUGAGAAAGGGACAAUUUUAGAAAAGACAGAGGUCCUAGAGACAAAUAAAUGGAAAGGUGCCCUUAUUGAAAAAAGAUGUCAAGACAGAAGGGAGGUAUUUUCUGCAGACAAUGAAACAAGUGAAAGCGACAGCAGCCCGAAUGCAGUGGGAAGAAUGGUGGUAAUCUCCAAACAUCCCAAAAUUUAUCAAGUAAAAGCAGUACCGGUUGUGCCUCCGAAGCCACAGCACUGCAGAAUCACUGCCUUGAACCUCCGCCAACAGCAGCAGCAGGAACAGCACAGAGACAGACUAGACUCUGACAUAGGGAAGGAAGCCAUGAUGAAGGCUGUGAUGCAGCAAGAUGACAUCUGUGAAGGAGAACAUGAGAAAGACAGAGACAAUGGGGGCAGAGAGAAAGAGAAGCCAAAACUCAGUGGAGGUGAAAGAGAGGGGGGGAAAGAUGUGAGUAGGAACAGUCCACUCAGCAUGUAUUUUGAUGAGGCUGUUGCUAUAGCAACAAUGAGACGUGAAAAAGAGAAAGAGUGUGAAAAGGAAAGGCAGAGGGAGUGGGGAAAUGAAAUGCAGUGA